RNAcentral lists this ribosomal RNA (421 nucleotides) under uncultured bacterium. RNAcentral's name for it is "bacterial SSU rRNA". It matches the Rfam family "Bacterial small subunit ribosomal RNA", at positions 355 to 768 of the family's 1533-position model. The record is from RNAcentral.
UAGGGAAUAUUGGACAAUGGGGGCAACCCUGAUCCAGCCAUGCCGCGUGAGUGAAGAAGGCCCUCGGGUUGUAAAGCUCUUUUGUCCGGAAAGAAAAGCUUCGGGUUAAUACCCCGGGGUUCUGACGGUACCGGAAGAAUAAGCACCGGCUAACUUCGUGCCAGCAGCCGCGGUAAUACGAAGAGUGCAAGCGUUACUCGGAAUUACUGGGCGUAAGGCGUGCGUAGGUGGUUGUUUAAGUCUGAUGCGAAAGCCCUGGGCUCAACCUGGGAAUGGCAUUGGAAACUGGGCAGCUAGAGUGCGGUAGAGGGUAGUGGAAUUCCUGGUGUAGCAGUGAAAUGCGUAGAGAUCGGGAGGAACAUCUGUGGCGAAGGCGACUGCCUGGACCAGCACUGACACUGAGGCACGAAAGCGUGGGGAG